AAUGAACGCUGGCGGCAGGCCUAACACAUGCAAGUCGAACGGGUCCUUCGGGGACUAGUGGCGGACGGGUGAGUAACGCGUGGGAACGUGCCCCUUGGUACGGAAUAGCCCCGGGAAACUGGGAGUAAUACCUCAUAGUAUGUGAGAAUCGCAUGGUUUUCACAUUAAAGUUCCAACGGUAAAAGAUGAGCAUGCGUCCCAUUAGCUAGAUGGUAAGGUAACGGCUUACCAUGGCGACGAUGGGUAGGGGUCCUGAGAGGGAGAUCCCCCACACUGGUACUGAGACACGGUCCAGACUCCUACGGGAGGCAGCAGUGGGGAAUUUUGGACAAUGGACGCAAGUCUGAUCUAGCCAUUCCGCGUGCAGGAUGAAGGCCCUCGGGUUGUAAACUGCUUUUGUACGGAACGAAAAGGUCUCUAUUAAUACUAGGGGCUCAUGACGGUACCGUAAGAAUAAGCACCGGCUAACUACGUG
This 475-nucleotide ribosomal RNA is filed under the name uncultured bacterium. Its description in RNAcentral is "bacterial SSU rRNA". It matches the Rfam family "Bacterial small subunit ribosomal RNA", at positions 29 to 507 of the family's 1533-position model. The record is from RNAcentral.